AUAAGGCAAUGGUUUAAAUCGUGAAAGUCUUUUACACAAAAUGAUGACACUGGUGGCAGUGUUGUGGGGCUGCUGACAAAGUAUUGGGGAGGACUUGCCUUCACAUGCUCCCCCCUCUGACCCUCCAGACCUGGACCUUCCCUAAAGAUUUCUGCCCCCAGAUAAAGUCCAUCCCAGUGGAGCAGUCCCAGCAGGAAAUUACAGGAAGAGAAGGAGCCUUAGCCCCAGGGGGCAUUCAGAAUUCCAUCCUGCCUCUGAGCUCCGGGGGCUGCUGACUCCCUCCUACUUGAUCCCUGAGAGUGGCCUCUAGGAGAGUGGGAAGGGGGGGCAACUAUACUGCUUAUUUCCCAUCCCUAAACAAUGGUCCUUCUCUGGAGCCAACUCACCUGGAGGCCAUGCUUAGCCUCUUGGAACAUACACCUGCUCCUACACCUUCUUCCAAUGGCAAUGAUGUUGGUUGGAAUGCACAGACUGCCAGGGAUUGCAAAUACCCCCCCCCUCCUCAACUUUGAGCAUCGCCUGUGACUUUGACUUUGCCAGAAGGAACACUGUUCCACCCUGACCCACAUAUCUGGGCAAGGACAUGUCUUCCCCAUUCCUGAUCUGUUCCUUAACUGGAUACCACCCAAUCUGCUUGACCCUGUCCUCUAAUAAAAAAUCCAAACAAAACACAGUCCAUCUCAUUCAGCACCUUGAUCAGCAGGUCAUCAACCCCAAAUGUGUACCUGAACAUUGUAAGAAUUUAACUAUUUUUUAAUUUUAAAAGAUUAUACCCAGGCCCUAUCUCUGGAGACUAUGAUCUAAUCGGUGGAGCCCAGGCACUGCCAUUUUUGCUGUGAAGAACGAGUGAGUGAACUAGUAACUCAGCCCUCUCAGCCUUCCAGCUCCCACAGAGCUCCCAGGUCAGAAGGGCCCUGCAGCACCCUCCAGUCUGCCUGCUGGGUCUCCUGCUCCGAAAGGACCAGGUCAUGUGCCAAUGGUGCAUCUGCCCAUUCCCCAGGGGGAAGCAGUGUGGCUGAGGGGAGAACAGAGGGAACAGCGACAGGGUUCCCUACUGAAAUAUCUGACAAGGCACCAAAGCAAUCAGAACGAAUGGUUUGAGCCUUACGCCAGGAGAACUGCAGCAAGAAAUUCAUCGAGCUUGAAAGGGGUCUCGGAAGCCCCUUCUGUCCACAGGCAUUCUGCACAGCUGAGGAUAGACCCAACUCUGCCAACUUCCAGAGGAGGCGCCACAGCCAGGCCGUCUGGCUGGCUCCAGGUGUAGCAUCUUUGCCACCUGGAAAGUCACUGCCAACUCCCUUUGCAGAGGUUGCUGGUGCAAGUUUCCCUUUAGGAGAAGAAGAAGGGAACCCCAAGGUGCAGUCACUUUCAUGUCCCCAUUAGAAGAAAUCACAUUUUGCUUCAGUUUCUUUAUGUUAAUAAAAUAUUGCCAUAUCACAAAGUUCAUCCCACUACAAUGAAGGAUUUCAAGACUUUUUGUCGCAAAAUGGCAUAAGCUGAUAUACCUGCUAUUUUAAGUAACAUGGGAACAAUUGGAAAAAAAAAAACUAAAAAAAGCAAAGAAAUGAUAGCUCCACCCAAAAUUCCAGACCUCUAACAUGAUGAGCUCUUAUUUUCAGUCAUGAUGUUCAUUUCUUCAGAUUCUGUCACAGAUGAGAGAGGAGGAUGAAGUAACGAAGGCACAGGAGAGAUGCCACCUACCACCAACGUGACGACAGCGUGAAAAUCAGUCAUGCAACCAUCUGUGGCCACCGGAUAUGCACCUGUUUCUUGUUCCAAAAAGCAGAAAUAUAAACACCGAGAGAGACCCACAUGCCACAGAGGAAGGAGGUGUCAUAAACUUAAAAAGUGAUAUAGCCUUGACCAAAAUUUCUUAAAAUGCCAGUGACCUUUUCUUGGUUUUGAUAUUAUACAGGGAUCAUGUGAUACGUUACCAUCAGAAGAAAUGGUGAAAAGUACAGAGUCUCUGGUGGGGGGGGGGGGUGUUGCAACUUCCGGUGAAUCUGCAAUCAUUUCAAAUUAAAAUAUUAAAAAACAAAAUGAAAGGAAAGAAACUCUAUUCACAAAGAAAAUGAGGUGAAACUUGGCAGGAAAAAAGCCUACCAUCCAGGCAGGACUGCCCCUGUAUCAGCAGCGGCAGAGGCCCGUGGGAGGGGCAGCAGAGGGAGUAUUUACCUCAGCUCCACCAGGACAGGGCGAAGAAGGAGCUGGGUUACCUGAAAGGGAAAUCUCUCAUGUAAGUUUAUGUCUGUGUAGGCUCUAUCUCUCGAUAUGUUUACUGACAUGAAGCAAGUAGCUUCAUGUAAUUUAUAUUACGUGAAUUUAAGUUCAAAUAAUUAAGUAAUAAACUAUGUAUUCUCACUUAAAUCUCAGCGCACGUGAAAUAGUACAUUAGAGCCAUAGACUAUGCUCAUUAUAAGAUAGGGAACUUGUUUAAUUUAUAAAUUGUUUCCGCCACCUCAAAUUAAUGGUCCC
Molecule: long non-coding RNA, 2475 nt
Filed under: Marmota monax (woodchuck)
Lineage: Eukaryota; Metazoa; Chordata; Mammalia; Rodentia; Sciuridae
Source: RNAcentral